This 806-nucleotide ribosomal RNA is filed under the name Escherichia coli. Its description in RNAcentral is "partial 23S ribosomal RNA". It matches the Rfam family "Bacterial large subunit ribosomal RNA", at positions 87 to 934 of the family's 2925-position model. The record is from RNAcentral. Lineage: Bacteria; Pseudomonadati; Pseudomonadota; Gammaproteobacteria; Enterobacterales; Enterobacteriaceae.
UGAUAUGAACCGUUAUAACCGGCGAUUUCCGAAUGGGGAAACCCAGUGUGUUUCGACACACUAUCAUUAACUGAAUCCAUAGGUUAAUGAGGCGAACCGGGGGAACUGAAACAUCUAAGUACCCCGAGGAAAAGAAAUCAACCGAGAUUCCCCCAGUAGCGGCGAGCGAACGGGGAGCAGCCCAGAGCCUGAAUCAGUGUGUGUGUUAGUGGAAGCGUCUGGAAAGGCGCGCGAUACAGGGUGACAGCCCCGUACACAAAAAUGCACAUGCUGUGAGCUCGAUGAGUAGGGCGGGACACGUGGUAUCCUGUCUGAAUAUGGGGGGACCAUCCUCCAAGGCUAAAUACUCCUGACUGACCGAUAGUGAACCAGUACCGUGAGGGAAAGGCGAAAAGAACCCCGGCGAGGGGAGUGAAAAAGAACCUGAAACCGUGUACGUACAAGCAGUGGGAGCACGCUUAGGCGUGUGACUGCGUACCUUUUGUAUAAUGGGUCAGCGACUUAUAUUCUGUAGCAAGGUUAACCGAAUAGGGGAGCCGAAGGGAAACCGAGUCUUAACUGGGCGUUAAGUUGCAGGGUAUAGACCCGAAACCCGGUGAUCUAGCCAUGGGCAGGUUGAAGGUUGGGUAACACUAACUGGAGGACCGAACCGACUAAUGUUGAAAAAUUAGCGGAUGACUUGUGGCUGGGGGUGAAAGGCCAAUCAAACCGGGAGAUAGCUGGUUCUCCCCGAAAGCUAUUUAGGUAGCGCCUCGUGAAUUCAUCUCCGGGGGUAGAGCACUGUUUCGGCAAGGGGGUCAUCCCGA